Long non-coding RNA from Helianthus annuus (common sunflower), 283 nucleotides. RefSeq lists it as uncharacterized. The record is from RefSeq and is a predicted model, not a curated record. The transcript has 3 exons. Lineage: Eukaryota; Viridiplantae; Streptophyta; Magnoliopsida; Asterales; Asteraceae.
CAGGAUUUUAUCAGAAAUACAGAUUACAAACACACCAAUAGACACAAAGGGAUUUGAAAAGCUGGUUCAAGUGAAAGAGAACACAGCGAAUGAUAGUAUGAAUCUCUAUAGCGGGCUGUUCAUACACAACAGGUUUGCCAAACAGCAGAUGGAGAAUUUAGAAAGCGCGCUUGAGAGAGUGAAGGGGUCACUAGAAGCAAGGAUGAAAAAGGAAGAUGGACACAAGUGAGGACAAUGGAUUCAGAUCAGAUGUGUAACCUUCUGUUUGGUAGAUUUGAUCAGA